Molecule: long non-coding RNA, 1256 nt
Organism: Neogale vison (American mink)
Lineage: Eukaryota; Metazoa; Chordata; Mammalia; Carnivora; Mustelidae
Exons: 2
Source: RefSeq, a predicted model, not a curated record
AGCCACCCAGGUGCCCCCAAAACACAUCUUUAAAGGAGUGAAUUCCCUCCCCUGGAGCUGUAGCCAGAUUUUAUGUGGUUCUGGCCUUCUGUUGCCAUCUUUCAGCAUUGCUUUCUGGAGCAGAGCAACCUUCCUAAAGCUUAGUCUAGCUAGUCCUGUGAUGUCUUAUCUGUGUCUUCGGUCAUCACUGCUCACUUCCCACACACACAGAACAUAAUGCAUCAGUUCCUCAACACGUGUUUCAUUAUUCCCUGUUCCCUUUCUUACCAGGAAUGGAGGGAUCCUUAGCAGAACAUCAGAUUGGCCUGAUGAGGCUUUUUCUUACUUCUAGGUCCAUGAAAGGGAGAGGAAGGACUAAUGACUCAGAAAGAGGAAAUCAUAAAGUCUGCAUGUACUAAUAUGCUAACUCUUUGGAGAUUUGAGAGAGAAAUCUUACCUGAACUCUGGACUACCUCUAAAUCUGGUGUGAAGAAUUUACUAAAGAGGUGAAUCUGUUGUUUGGGCUGACCUGGUCCUUGAUGUGCUGCCUGCUUCUGCUACUGAUCCAUACUGCAGAACUUCUCAUUCAUCCCCAAGGCCUCCAAGCAAUGUCCAAUAGGGAAUCGACUCUAAAAGGAACCAGACCAACGUUUCCAGCCCCUUCAUUCUGGUGACUGAGGGAAGGAAGCAGUGGGAGGGGUUAUACAUGUGUAGUGGAUGUGAGGGAAACACAGACUGUCAAAUUACUCUAUCUCUUUAGUUUCUUUCUCAAAUAGAAUUCUGCAACCGUAUUAUUUCUAUUGUGUAAGUAUAGGGGAAGUUGAAGAUGGUGACCUUGAUUAGAAUGUGUCUGAGGGGAAUAAAUGGAGUGUAUGAGAUAAGAGACAGUUGGUUAUGAAAGACGUUGAAGUCUUGAAAUAAUGUGACCAUCUGAGGAAUUUUUUUUAAACCGGAGUUUAUAAAAAUAUCACUGAUACAGCCUGCCCCCUCAUUUCCCGCCACAGGAGACUUCUUGGACUGGAGACACUUGUUUAAUAAUAGCUUGUCUCCGAUAUUCCCAGUAGCUACCUCUCUGUGAGGAAAGGAUAGCAAACGUUAAGGACAUCAUCACACAAAGUUCCAGUAGCAGUGACGCCUACACGGAAGACUUGGAACUGCAAACAGAGGCUGGGGUCACCUCAGUGACAUCUGACGCCGUCCAACCACAAGUUCGAAUUUUGUUUUGUGGGGUGAGGAAGCAGACUGUACUAAAGGACUAAAAUUAUUUCUUGUCUGUA